GUCGAGGGGCAUCGGGAUUGAAGCUUGCUUCAAUUGCCGGCGACCGGCGCACGGGUGCGUAACGCGUAUGUAACCUACCUAUAACAGGGGCAUAACACUGAGAAAUUGGUACUAAUUCCCCAUAAUAUUCGGAGAGGCAUCUCUCCGGGUUGAAAACUCCGGUGGUUAUAGAUGGACAUGCGUUGUAUUAGCUAGUUGGUGAGGUAACGGCUCACCAAGGCAACGAUACAUAGGGGGACUGAGAGGUUAACCCCCCACACUGGUACUGAGACACGGACCAGACUCCUACGGGAGGCAGCAGUGAGGAAUAUUGGUCAAUGGACGCAAGUCUGAACCAGCCAUGCCGCGUGCAGGAAGACGGCUCUAUGAGUUGUAAACUGCUUUUGUACGAGGGUAAACUCACCUACGUGUAGGUGACUGAAAGUAUCGUACGAAUAAGGAUCGGCUAACUCCGUGCCAGCAGCCGCGGUAAUACGGAGGAUUCAAGCGUUAUCCGGAUUUAUUGGGUUUAAAGGGUGCGUAGGCGGUUUGAUAAGUUAGAGGUGAAAUCCCGGGGCUUAACUCCGGAACUGCCUCUAAUACUGUUAGACUAGAGAGUAGUUGCGGUAGGCGGAAUGUAUGGUGUAGCGGUGAAAUGCUUAGAGAUCAUACAGAACACCGAUUGCGAAGGCAGCUUACCAAACUAUAUCUGACGUUGAGGCACGAAAGCGUG
Molecule: ribosomal RNA, 712 nt
Filed under: uncultured Bacteroidales bacterium
Lineage: Bacteria; Pseudomonadati; Bacteroidota; Bacteroidia; Bacteroidales
Description: bacterial SSU rRNA
Rfam family: Bacterial small subunit ribosomal RNA
Source: RNAcentral